This 253-nucleotide ribosomal RNA is filed under the name uncultured bacterium. RNAcentral's name for it is "partial 16S ribosomal RNA". It matches the Rfam family "Bacterial small subunit ribosomal RNA", at positions 524 to 776 of the family's 1533-position model. The record is from RNAcentral.
UACAGAGGUCCCAAGCGUUGUUCGGAUUCACUGGGCGUAAAGGGUGCGCAGGUGGCAUGGCAAGUUUGAUGUGAAAGCUCAGGGCUCAACCCUGAAAUGGCAUUGAAUACUGCUGUGCUGGAGGUUUGGAGGGGGGACUGGAAUUCUUGGUGUAGCAGUGAAAUGCGUAGAUAUCAAGAGGAACACCAGUGGCGAAGGCGAGUCCCUGGACAACACCUGACACUGAGGCACGAAAGCUAGGGGAGCAAACGGG